Molecule: ribosomal RNA, 243 nt
Filed under: uncultured bacterium
Lineage: Bacteria
Description: partial 16S ribosomal RNA
Rfam family: Bacterial small subunit ribosomal RNA
Source: RNAcentral
ACACGUGGGUAACCUGCCUUAUAGUGGGGGAUAGCCUUUCGAAAGGAAGAUUAAUACCGCAUAAGAUUGUAGUAUCGCAUGAUAUAGCAAUUAAAGGAGCAAUCCGCUAUAAGAUGGACCCGCGUCGCAUUAGCUAGUUGGUGAGGUGAUGGCUCACCAAGGCGACGAUGCGUAGCCGACCUGAGAGGGUGAUCGGCCACAUUGGGACUGAGACACGGCCCAGACUCCUACGGGAGGCAGCAU